GUUAAUUACAUCUCCGAAGAGAAAACCCCUGAUUAAGAAUUCCGACAUAUCUAUUACAUGAGAUUGCAACACAUUCCUAUUACAAUAUGCUACAAGAAAAAUCCUCCUUGCGGUCGACGUUGAACUCUGGCCUCGGAACAUGAAGUUUAUAUGCGUAGAUUAUCUUCGACGCCGUUAUGUUUGAUGGUUUUGCCAUAUAUUUCUUUAUCAUGCAAUUAUUUUGUUUGUGCUCAACUUCAUUUAUGUUAUGAUUUAAAAUGAAUUUUGAUGCGGUCCAAGCUUGAUUUGGCCCCCUGUUUUCAGGCAUAGGAUGCAUUCAUGCAUUUUUAAUAUUUAGCGCUCAUAUCAUGGAAUUCAUUUAAGAGAACCCUUGCUUGGAGCAUAAUUGCUGUUCUAUUUGGUUGAUGGUUUAUGCCAUGGAAUUCAUUUUGAAGAACCCAUGACAUGCCAUAAUUGUGUAUUUGUUAUAUGGAUGUUAUAUGCAAUGGAAUUCAUAUGAGAGAACCAAUGUCAUAGCGUAACUUUAUUAUUUUAUGGCUAUGCCACAUAAUUUGUAUGGAAGACUCCAUGUCAUAAGAUAUUUUAUAUAUUUUUUGUCAACUUGUGACUUAUGUCGUGGAAUUCGUAUGAAGGAACCCACGACAUAAGAUACUAUGUAUUUUCUUUAUUUUAUGACUUAUGUCAUGGAAUUCAUAUAAAAAGAACCCAUGACAUAGCAUAAUUUGUAUUUCCUUUGGUUUUAUGACUUACGCCAUGGAAUUCAUAUGAGAAGAACCCAUGACAUAGCGUAAUUGUAUAGUUUCUUUGGCUCAUGGCUUAGUCAUUUUAUGGCUCGCGUCAUGGAAUUCGUGAGAAAGAACCCAUGCACGAAAUGUACUUUCAUGUCAUGAAAUUCAAAUGUAAGGAACCCAUGCGUAGAUCAUUUUAUGAAUUUUUCACACAUGGCAUGUCCACGUGAAGAAAAAAAGUACGUCCUUGAUCCGAACCACAAGGCCGAACCUAAGGGCAUGAUUUGAUGAGUUAUAUGUUCCUUGAUCCGAACCAAAAGGCCAAACCUAAGGACAUGAUUUGGUGAAUUUUAUGUCCCUUGUUCCGAACCAAACGGCCGAACCUAAGGACAUGAUUUGGUAAAUUUUAUGUUCCUUGAUCCGAGCCAAACGGCGGAACCUAAGGUCAUGAUUUGGUGAAUUUUAUGUUCCUUGAUCCGAACCGAACGACCGAACCUAAGGACAUGAUUUGGUGGAUUUUUUGUUCCUUGAUCCAAACCAAACGGCCGAACCUAAGGACAUGAUUUGGUGGAUUUUAUGUUCCUUGAUCUGAACCAAACGGCCGAACCUAAGGACAUGAUUUAAUGGAUUUUAUGUUCCUUGAUCCGAACCAAACGACCGAACCUAAGGACGUGAUUUGGUGGAUAUUAUGUUCCUGAUCCGAACCAAACGGCCGAACCUAAGGACAUGAUUUGGUGGAUUUUAUGUUCCUUGAUCCGAACCAAACGGCCGAACUUAAGGACAUGAUUUGGUGGAUUUUAUGUUCGAUCCGAACCAAACGGCCGAACUGAAGGACAUGAUUUGGUGGAUUUUGUGUUCCUUGAUCCGAACCAAACAGCCGAGCCUAAGGACAUGAUUUUUUGAAUUUUAUGUUCCUUGAUCCGAAUCAAACGGUCGAACCUAAGAACAUGAUUUGAUGGAUUUUAUAUUCCUUGAUCCAAACCAAACGACCGAACCUGAGGACAUAAUUUGGAAAGGAGGAAGAAGCAAGCUCCCUGGCUUGUAUUGCCAUGGCCGAACCAGGGGCUAGAGGAGAACCAUGAAUCUCACCUUCAAACUCCCCAGCAAGUAGAGCGUCCGUCUCCUUCUUUCUAUCCGAUUUGUGUGUGGGAUUUUUAUGGCAAAAUCUGUAUGCGACAGUGGUUCUACGCAGCAGCAAUGGGAUAAGCAACAAAGUAGGAACGGAGCCCUUUGGCGUGAGCGGGAGAAAAAGCAGCUGAUCACCCACCCGUUCAUGUGCUAGCAAUGCGUGUAUUUAUAGGAGCCAGAGAGCAGCGGAGCCCUUUGGCGUGAGCGUGCCCACGCUCCCAAUCGUGGGAUCGUGCAUGGCAUCGUGGGAGCGGCCGGGCAGCUCAUUUCUUAAAUCAAUUUCUUUAAUUAAUUGCGCUUUGACCGGAUUUUGAACCGGCCACUUGACUGUAGUUAGCACAUGCAUUUCCUAUCAAUACGUGGGCUUGGACCCUAGCCAAUCACUUCGGAUGUGGUGAUUAACUGAUGGAUUAGGCCAUCCACGCAACCUUGUAAAUGAGUCUCACGUAAUAUGCAUGCAUAUACGUAGACAUCUUGUGUAAAUGAGCUGGCCUGAUUAAUUGAUUUUUUUUGGUUAAUUCAUUCCAACUUCUUUGUCAUGCCAUGAAAAAAAAGAUGUAUAUGCAAAUAUUCUUUCAUGGACAAUUAUAUGAUAGCCUGGCAUUUUCUUCUUAUUUCCUUAAAUAUAUAUAUGGAUGCACGUCCUACUUUUUAUCCAUCGGAUUGAUUUUUCGCAUGAUCGAUGUAAUAGGCCUCACAUUUGCCCUACGGUCAAUAUUUUGGAAAUAUCAUGAUUUUAUGUAGGCAUUCGACACCCGCCGUAGUUGGCGGCGUGCAUGGAUGAACGUUAUGUGUAAUUUGAAUUUAUUUUUUGUUCCAGUGUGUCAUUUUAGUUAGGACAAAUAAUUCGUGGUGAUUUCUAUUCGUUUUGGAAACUUUACAAAUAUCGGCUUGUUUACUAAUUACUUCUUGUGCCUCCUAUUUUAUAGUGAGCGGUGACAAUUCACCAUGUCGGGCGUAUUUCAGCAUUUUCACCAUUUGAUAAUUUAUUCGGUUAGUUGGAUUAUCUUUUUCUUCGGCCAAAACCAGUGUCAGCACAUGCCCCUCGAGGUCUGGGUCCGAAGAGAUAUUUUGAUUCGGAUCUAGAGCUCGAAACUUGACAAUCUAUUUUAUGCUUGCAGUUUUUUCAAGUCCACGUGGACUCUUGUUUUAUUUUAAUAUUCCCCUUUUGAAGUGUGUGACUUCUUAUUCAAAUGUUCGGUAGCUAUAUGUGGACGGGUAGUCUUUUUUUCUUACAUGAUACAUUUUUUUUAAAUUUUAAUUUAGGCUUGGACUUUUUAGUGCAGUUGAACUUAACACUUCAGAGUUUAAACCCAUGAAGGUUGUUUCAGCUUAAUAUUUUUAGACCAUGCUUACAGUUUAGGCUCAUAUAGCAUUGGAGCAGUUUGUAUGUGUUGGUUUUGGCUCUCGAAGUAUUAGAGUACUGAUAGACAUAUGCUUAUUCAUUUGAUGUUAGGAGCAUUUACUCCUAUACUCAUACGUGUGAACUUCAUUUUCUCAAUGAAUAUUUAAUUUCAAUUGAUUGGUUGCACCAUACUUCAUACUCUUAAGAUGUUGGACUAUUAUUUUAUGUGCCCUAAUUUAUACUCAUGAGGGUAUGGAGUAUUUUUUUGUUAUAUCUAGUUUAUACUCAUUAGUUGUUGGAAUAAUAUUUCUUUUAUCAUAUUUUAGAAUCGUAAGUUUAUUGGAGUAAACUUGUUUUUAUUGCCCCAGUUUAUACUCGUGGGGUUUUGGAGUGUAUGUGUUUAUAUCACAGUUUAUACUCAUAAGUUCAUUGGAGUAAACUUUGUUCUUUAUUGCCCCAGUUUACACUCGUGGGGUUUUGGAGUGUAUGUGUUUAUAUCAUAGUUUAUACUCAUAAGUUUAUUGGAGUAACAUUUUAGGUCUCCUAGUUUAAACUCAUAAGGGUAUGGAGUAUGUUUUAUUUUUCACUUUUCUCUUUGUCGUAUCAAAAUUUAUACUCGUAAGUCGUUAAAGUAACAUUUAUGUGCCCCCGUUUAUGCUCGUGGGAACAUGGAGUAUAUCUUUUUUGGAUCCCCAGUUCAGACUCAUGAGGGUAUGGAGUUUUUUUUCCUUUUGCAUCACAGUUUAGCCUCGUAAGUAUAUUGGCGUAACAUUUUAUGUGCUCCAAUUUAUACUCGUGGGAACAAGAAGUAUAUUUCUUUGGUGUCCCAUUUUAGACUCGUGAGGGUAUGGGGUGCUUUUCCUUUUGCAUCACAGUUUAGACUCGUAAGUUUAUUGGAGUAACAUUUAGGUGCUCCAAUUUAUACUCGUGGGAACAUGGAGUAUAUUUUUUUGGUGCCCCAGUUUAGACUCCUGAGGGUAUGUAGUGCAUAAUGGUUUUUUGGUGCCUCGGUUUAGACUCGUGAGGGAAUGGAGUAUAUUUUCUUUUCUUUUCGCAUCACAGUUUAGACUCGUAAGUUAUUGGAGUAUAUUUUCUUUGAGUGCCCCAGUUUCGACUCGUGGGGGUAUGGAGUGCAUUUGCUUUUUUCUUUUAUCAUCACAGUUUAGACUCGUAAGUUAUUGGAGUAUAUUUUCUUUGAGUGCCCCAGUUUAGACUCGUCAGGGUAUGGAGUACAUUGGCUUUUCUUUUCGCAUCACAAUUUAGACUCAUAAGUUAUUGGAGUAUAUUUUCUUUGAGUGUCCCAGUUUAGACUCGUGAGGGUAUGGAGUAUAUUUAUUUUUUGGAUGCACUCACAAGUUUAUUAGAGUAACAUUUGUUUACAUCACACUUUAUACUCAUAAGUGUAUUGGAGUAACAUUUGUUGACAUCACAGUUUAUACUCAUAAGUGUAUUGGAGUAUAUUUGUUUUUUAAGCAUAGUAACGCUUCAGGAAUUUCCCAUUUAUCGUGGCGGACAGUACUCGCUGUCUGGAGAAAUUAUCCUGUAAGCACCACUAGAGUAGACUUCUUUUACGAUGUAGGGACCUUCCCAUUUUGGCUCAAAUUUUCCUCCAAUCCGUCGUGUAACAUUCAUUGGAUGGAUAACGACAAGUACUAGGUCUCCUUGCUUGAAUGACGUUUUAACACGCAUGUCGAAAGCAUGAGACAUUCUAGCCUGAUAUGCUUCCAAAUUUUCUAGCGCUAGAAGGCGUUUACCCUCAAGUAAUUCAAGCUCACCGAGGCGUAAUUUUAUGGCUUCUUCUUCAGAAAGUUUCUCCUAGUGACUCUGAGCGAAGUAAUUUGUACUUCUAAUGGUAGAACCGCUUCUCCACCAAACACAGGGGCGUAAGGUGUCAUUCCAGUUGGUGUACGUGUCGUGGUCCUUUAAGUCCACAAGGCCUCAAGGAGUUUCUCAUGCCACUCACGCUUAUUCCUUGACAUGACUUUCUUUAACAAUUUGCAUAGGGUUUUAUUAAAAGCUUCUGCUUGUCCAUUAGCUGCCGGAUUAUAAGCCAUAGAAUAAUGAUGAUUUAUCUUAAAUUUUAAACAUAACUUAUCAACAUGUUUGUUUUUGAAUGGUCCUCCGCUGUUGGAGAUGACACGGGAAGGAACUCCGAAGCGAUAUAUAAGUUGUGUUCUUAUAAAGUGUUUCACAUAUUCUCCCUUAUCCUCUUUUAGUGGUAUAAGCUCAGCCCAUUUGGAAAAAUAGUCGGUGGCAGCCAAGAUAAAUUUGUGGCCCUUUGAAGAUGGCAGAUUAAUAGGUCCCACUAUAUCCAUUGCCCACAUUUCAAACUGCCAUGCCAUAUUUGUGGGAUGCAACGAUUCAUGAGGUUGAUGUAUCAAGUUACCAUCUAUUUGGCACUCAUGACAGCUUUUUGCAAAUUUCAUGGCGUCGUCGAACAUGGUAGGCCAAUAAUAACCAAGAUGUCGUGGUUGAUAAUAUAACUUUGGGCCCGAUUGAUGUGCCCCACACACCCCAGUGUGCACUUCAAUUAAGGCUUCCAAAAUUUCAUUCCCUGCCAGACAGCGAAGGAGGAUGCCGUGGAAAGAACAACGAAGGAGGAUGCCGUGGAAAGAACGCCUAUACAGGGUGUCAUUUAUACAUGUAUAGUGGACUGACCUUUUUCGAACUCUAGAUCUUUCUGUCGAGUCUAAAUGUAAAUAUCCGCGGAGCAAGUAUUCCAGGAAGGGGCUUCGCCAAUCUCCGACUUCAAUCUCGUAGAUGUCUGUAGUCAUUGCAAGUGAUGUCAUUGUCUCUUCCUCUUCGGCGAGUAUAGGCAGGAUUCAGCAUUCUACAACACGAACGUCCAUCAUUUGAUGUGAACUUAAUGACAUACUAGCAGCUAAACCUGCUAAUGCAUUGGGCUUUUCAUUGUGACUUCUUAUAACAUGCUGAAUAUUUAGAUCAACAAACAUGGGCAUGAGCGUUUUGGCUCGUUGGAAGUAAGGCAUUAAUUCCUCUUUCUUUACCAUGUAAAUUCUCAUUAAUUGGUUGAUCACUAACUGAGAGUCACCGUAUACCGUGAGUGAAUCUAACCCCAUAUUCAGAGCCAAUUCCAGCCCAAUUAUCAAAGCCUCAUAUUCAACUGAAUUAUUUGAAACUGCUGAAGUUAGGGUAAAGGAGUACGGGAUUAUUCCUUCACUUUGUGCGACAAACACAACUCCCGUACCUGCCCCGGAUCGUAGCAACCUAUGUAGAGAACACAUCUUCAUCAGGUAGGUCAUCAUCUAUUGGGAAAUCAUCGGGUAUUGGAUGCGUGGCUAUGAAGUUAGCUAAUGCUUGUCCCUUCAUGGCCUUUUGUGUCACAAAUUUUAUAUCACACUCUGACAAAAACAUCGCCUACUUAGCUAAUCUAUCUGAAAGCACCAUUUUGUUUAAGAUAUAUCUGAGAGGGUCUGCUCUUGACACAAGGUGUACAUUGUGUUCUAGCAUGUAAUGACGUAAUUUUUAUGCUGCAAACAUUAAUGCGAGACAUAUUUUGUCCAUGUCCGGAUAAUUGCACUCAGCCCCCACAAGGGUGCGACUAAGAUAAUAUAGGGACAUUUCUUUUACGGACUCAUUAUUUUGUGCCAAAAGAGCACCCAACGACAUAGGCAUGGCCGUUGUAUAUAGGAUCAAAGGGGUUUCCCUAACUGGUGCACCCAGAAUAGGUGGAUAUAUUAGAUAUUUUUAAUAUCCAAGAAUGCAUUUUGGCAUGCUUGAUCCCACUCAAAUGGGACACCGUUUUUCAUGAGACGUGAGAAAGGUUUGCAUCUUCCCGAUAAGUUCGAGAUAAACCUCCCAAUAUAUGCUAGGUGACCUUGGAAACUUUUUAAUUCGUGUAGGUUUGUGGGUGGUGGCACCUUAACAAUUGCUUUUACUUUAUCGUGGUUGACUUGGAUGCAUUCUUUGUAACCACAAAACCUAGAAAUUUCCCGGAAGAAACUCCAAAUGCAAAUUUAAUGGGAUUCAUUUUCAAGUUAUGUUCCCUCAAACGCUCGAAAACCAUUUCAAGAUGUUUUAUAUGGUGUUCCUCAUGUUUUGAUUUUACCACUAUGUCAUCUAUGUAACAUUCAACGAUAACAUAAAAUAAUCCAUCUAAAAUUAUAGUUAUAGCUCGUUGAUAUGUUGCCCCUCACGUUUUUUAGUCCAUAUGGCAUGAUUUUAUAACAGAAUAUGCCUUUGGGCGUCCUAAAAGCCGUUAACUCUUCAUCCUCUGGGGCCAUUUUUAUUUGAUUAUAUCCAGAAUAUCCAUCCAUUAAAGAAAACAUUGCAUGGUGCAUUGUAGCAUCAACGAGUAAUUCAGAUAUCGGUAUCGAAAAAUCAUCCUUAGGGCACGCUUUAUUUAAGUCCCUAAAAUCUACACAUACAUGAAUUUGACCAUUUUUAUUUUUAACUGGAACAAUAUUGGAAAGCCACUUAGGAUAUUUAACCUCUCUGAUGAAUCCAGCAGCUAUGGGUUUGUCAACCUCGGCUUCUAUUUUCGGAAGUAGCUCGGGUCGAAAUCUCCUUUGUGCUUGUUUUACGGGUAGAAUAUCAUCUUGCACGGCAAGUCGGCGCACGACCACCCCUCGAUCUAGGCCGGGCAUUUCCUCGUAAGUCCAAGCAAACACAUCCCUAUUUGCUGAAAGGCGAUAUUCCUCUUUCUUUUGUUUGGACAAAUGAGCGCCAAUAAAAAUUGGUCGAGGCUCCUCAAGUGUCCCAAUAUUUAUUUCCUCCGGGUCAUCAAUAGUUGGUUGAUUCCCAUCCUCCAUUUUCGGGGAUGCCUCAGUUGGCUCUGUAAAUUCGGUCGAGGUCAUCCAAACCUCAUAGCCUAGCCCAUGUCUUUUUUCUUUCAAAGGAUGGCCUUUGUGUAGAGCUUCGAGUUUUUCCGGUUACAACGCCUUUUCAAAUGGCGCUCGUUGUCCCCGACCAUCGCAUAAAUAUGGGCCACUAAGAGUGUCAUUGCCCAUUUGCUGCAUCAUAUACAAAACUCUGUUAUCAUACAAAGCAAUAGGCAAUGAAUCAUCAUCUUUAUUCUGCAAGGAGAUAUGCACCGCAUUAUUAUUUUUAUUUUCUCGAUUAGGCGACUCGUCUUUAUUUUGUUCAAUUUUAUGUUGAACCAAAGGAGGCAAGAUAAUAAGCAUUUUGGUACCUCUUUUGAUGGAUGAUUUAUUGAUGACGCAAAAUAUUGGGUCGCCUUCUUUUCUUUGGUCACUUGGUAUGUACUGGUAAAUCUUUCGCCCGGAUGAGGAUUCUGCAAUAAUUUUCUCUACCACAUUUGACUCAGGUACUACUACAGACUUUGGUUUGUAUACUUUUUCAACUGGAUCAAAAUUGAAUUUUGCAUCUGCAUAGAAGGAUUCAGCCAUGGUGAAUGGCCUCUUAUCUGCAAAUAUUCUCACUGUUUUCCCAAACUGCUCUUUAUACUUGACACACUUAUGAAGCGUGGAUGGUACGACUUGAUUUUCAUGUAGCCAUGGUCAGCCAGCAAUGCAUUGUAUGAAGUAGCUGCAUCAAUCACGUGGAAUUUCACGUAUGUGGACAAUGCUUUCAACUUCAAUACCAAUGAGAUGGUACCCAUGGCCUCCUGGCCUGAUUGAUUAAAGUCAUGAAUAACCACAUUUGACUGGCUCAGGUCCUUAGGUGAAUACCCUAUCCUUUUCAACGUACGCAUGGGCAACAAAUUUAUGGCGAAUCCGCCAUUUAUCAUAAUGCGAUUUGUUGGCAAGUCAUCAAUCUCACCAAACAUCAGGAGAGGUCUAUUAUGCUUCUUUGAGCCUAACAACAUGUCUUCAUCCGUGAAUGUAAUAUUUAACACAUUAUUUAGUUCAGCUUCUGUCUGCGAGACAUCCACUCUAUAUUUUUUAGGAAAUGACAAUGCAGUAACUAGUGCCUUACGUAAAUAUGAAGAAAGAGACAAAUCAUCAUACACAGAAAGCAUAGCUGGUAUUUUCUUCAAAUGCGAGAUUACAUCAUACUUGACCGACACCUUAGAGGGCGGGUCCAUUAUCUCAUUCUCGUCUACAUCUUUGUUUCCAGUCUCCUUUCUAUGUGGAGGAUGUGGGUCAACUAACUAGCGACUUGAUCUAAGGUGGACCUGGUCCACUUCUGGCGCAUCUUCUUUGGGGAAAUGAAGAGACUCGCUAUAAUCCUCAAACACAUCGAUAGUGAGAAUGUUGAAUUCUUCACUUGUAGGAACCUUCAUGCGCUUCGUCCCGUGCUGAUAUAUCUUUGGUACGAAGCGCGAAGGAGCAAUAUCUUCCAUCACUCGGGGUAGUGGAUGGCGUUUUGGCCGCUACUCCCUCCAUUCUUGGGGUCCAUGCGAAGCUCGUAGACUGAGCCAUUCAUCAUAUUUGCAGGGAAAGUGAGCCUCUCUUUUACGCUGACUCUGUGACGUGGUCCCAUGACCGUCAUGCGAGAUGAAUCCUGGAGAGAUUAUUGGAGUAAGUUCAUAUCCUGAUGAAAACAUCAUAUCAUCAUAAGUUGGCUUCAUAUUUGAAGGUGCACAACUCACCGAGCUAUCUUGAAAAGUGGCAACAUUUGCUGUAGCCAUCUUCUUCCCAUUCUUUAAACUUUUGAGAAGGUCCGUAUCAAUGGUCCCCUCAUCAAUCAUCUUCUGAAUGAUAUUUUUUACCACAAAGAAAUCAUCAAGUGUAUGGCCUAAUAUGCAGUGGUAAGGACAGAAGUUUGGUGCAUUAAACAUAUUGGCCUCUUCUGGCCUCUUUGACUUAGGAAGCUCUAUAAGUUUCAACUCCCGUAAACCUUUGCAAAGAUCAUGAAUUUCUUCUACAUGGAAGGAGUACUCUCUGUUUUGUUGUUCGAUAAGAGUCGGUCCCCUACCAACUUGUGCAUCUUUAUGUCCUUGGUUCCUUACAGGUGCUCUUCUAGGUUGAAACUGAGACUUGACCGCUCUUGCUUCCCUAACUUGCGCUGAUUUGGGUUUCUCGGCAAUUUCUCUCGUUGAGCCCCCUUUUCUAUAGGCUUGUUGAACGCCGCCUUUGUCCUGCGAGCGACAUGCUGCAUAUAAUUCUCUAUGUCCGUAGCCUUUGACGCCAACUCUUCAAAUGUGAUGGGUCUCACUCCAUGUAACUGCACAAAUGUGAUGGGUCUCACUUCCGAGUGAAGAUUAUUCAUGCACAUGUGCACCGCUUCACGCUCAGUAAUUGGCUGCAGGUAGUGAAGACUCAAAUUUCUCCAUCGGUUUAUAAAGUCAGCCGCUCUCUUAUUGAACCCCUGUUCUAUCUGGGUUAGCUCAGUGAUGCCUAUGGUUCUAUGUGUGCUAUAAAAUCGCUCAAGGAAGGCCUUCUGCAUCUGCUCCCAUGUUUUUAUGGAACUAGGAGCUAGCUUGCUGUAACAAGUAAAGGCGGGACCAGACAAUGUCUGUACGAACUGCCUGAGGAGGAGUGCUCCAUUAUGAGAUGUGUCCUGACAGGCUGCGAGAAAGUGGUCUAUGUGUUCGUGAGGAGACCCACUCCCGUUAAAUUUGCUAAACUAGGGUUGCCGGUAAUUUGCCGGGAAUGGCACAAGAUCAACAUCCGUCGGGUACAGAUUAACAUAUCCAGACCGCAUGGAAUAAUGGGUUUGCAUAUAUUGGGCCUUGACCCCUUCGGCUAUCAUUUUCUGAAUAGCUUCAAGGUUGAUUCCCUCUCCUCCUUGAUUAAUAUUAUGACUAUUGGAGGCAUUUCUCUCAGCUUCUGUACUUGUAUUAGGUACACGAUUGCGUAAAGCAACCAACUCAUCUUCUUUCUGUUGAAGUGAAACUGUGAGUUGUUUAAGUUGUUCUUCGGUUGACUGACCUGUAUUUGUCGUGAGGACCUGCUCUACUCAGUUUACAUUAUGUUGUUGUUCUUCAUGAAAUUUCAACUCAUUUUCAGAAUCAAGCUGAGAAUCUUUCAACAGAAGACGAGACCCUAUACAAUCUGAAUCUUGGUCUUCGUUGCUUGAAUCUUUUUGACUGCGAGUUACAGGACGAUGGCCUGGUACAACAUUUUUCUUGGCUUUCUUUCUCUUGAAAUGUACUAAAGUUGAUGAUGUUUCACUGUUGCUGUCCGCUUCCUCCGUGAUACCAACUGGCAAAGAAUUAAACACCUCAAAUUUGUUACUUGAGGCUCUCUUAAGAGCUGGCCAUGGAGUGAGCAUUGGGGCAACUCCCCUUGCUGUAUUUUCUAAAUUCUUGCUCACGUGUUCACUACCAGCUUGACUUGAUGUUGGAGAAUAUCGGCCAUCUGUCCUGCUGUAUCCAGAGUCAGCUCGCACUGCCAUUUCUUUUCUCUUCAGAGCAGCACGUUUUGCACUUGCACGACCUGCAUGGGUGACAUAUCCUUGCCGCUUGGGAUUUUCCUUUACAAACUCUUCAUAUUCUGGCAUUUUGGCGAGAAUCUGUGCGCGCCGCAUAAUUGCGCCGCCUUCAUCAUCUGCUGACAUGGAACAGCCAGGCAACAUGUUUCUCAGUGUUUCAGACAUUUUCUCUGAUAAUAUUUUGUGAAAAUCCAUGUGACGCCUUCCACGAAUUACUGCAUUAGUCUUCAUAUCUCUGUCUAUCAUGGCACCAAUGACUUGCUGCCGUUGAUGCCUUGCUUGGUUGGAAUCAAUUGCUGUUGGCAUAUCAAACCACGCCCGAUGAGCUCGCUGUCGUCGGCGACGGUGACAAACAGGAUCAUGGGAAACUUCAAAUGACGGUCGUGGCAUUGGCACCGAUGAUGAUAGAGGAUCCGUGAUUGUGGCGGUUGGAUCAACAUGGCCUGUCCUUAUGUCGCUCGGAGUGAGGUAUACUCCUUUCCACAUGAGCGAGCGUUUGCUGUUUGGCUCCGCGUAUGUGGGGAAGAACUCGGGAGCAUCAACCCGAAGUUGUCCAUAUGGCCGAGGAGCCUCCUGGUGCCGCAACUCACAUCCUUCUCAUGGCUGACUUAGAGAGGACAGGAAUAAAUCCAUCUUUCGGUGCUGAAGAGACCUCUUUUUCUUUCUCAGGUUCACUUGGUGAUGCAGCUGUAGUCUUCCAGCUCUCACUAACUAAAGCCACAAGUGGACCGAUUGGCACAUCCAGCCAGAGGUCACCAAAGCGGAGAGUGACAAACUGCUGAACCUGUCCCUCCAUACCUUUAAAAUAAAGAAAUCCAUAUAUAAGUUUUCUUCAUCUAUAUUUUUUUUGUAUAUGGGUACGAAACAUUUUACGCUUAUGUACUAUGGAAAUUCAUAUGUUGCAAUCUUUUGUUGGAAUUCAAAUAUGAGGGGAGAAUUAGGUCCCACCGGGCGUGCCAGAAUCUGAUGACGGGAAAAUGGCGAGGCAUGAAAACACGCGCCCACGUCAUUGAUACAGAGUGAAUAAAAUAUAGUGCAUACAAUAUACAAAAUAAAGAUCAAACAUUGAAGGUACAUAUUUCCAGAAUUCUUAUAUUUACAUAAAAAUUCUAUUAAUUACAUCUCCGAAGAGAAAACCCCUGAUUAAGAUUUCUGACAUAUCUAUUACAUGAGAUUGCAACACAUUUCUAUUACAAUAUGCGACAAGAAAAAUCCUCCUCGCGGUCGACGUUGAAGUUUAUCUGCGUAGAUUAUCUCCGACGCCGUUAUUUUUGAUGGUUUGCCAUAUAUUUCUUUAUCAGGCAAUUAUUUUGUUUGUGCUCAACUUCAUUUAUGUUAUGAUUUAAAAUGAAGGUUGAUAUGGUCCAAGCUUGAUUUGGCCCCCUGUUUUCAAGCAUAGGAUGCAUCCAUGCAUUUUAUAUUUAACGCUCAUAUCAUGGAAUUCAUUUCAGAGAACCCCUGCUUGGAGCAUAAUUGUUGUUCUAUGUGGUUGAUGGUUUAUGCCAUGGAAUUCAUUUUGAAGAACCCAUGCCAUGGUAUAAUUGUGCAUUUAUUAUAUGGAUGUUGUAUGUUUUAUAUAUUUUUUGUCAACUUGUGACUUAUGCCGUGGAAUUCGUAUGAAGGAACCCACGAUAUAAGAUACUAUGUAUUUUCUUUAUUUUCUGACUUAUGUCAUGGAAUUCAUAUGAGAAAAACCCAUGAUAUAGCAUAAUUUGUAUUUCCUUUGGUUUUAUGACUUAUGCCAUCGAAUUCAAAUGAGAAGAACCCAUGACAUAGCGUAAUUGUAUAUUUUAUUUGGCUCAUGGCUUAGUCAUUUUAUGUCUCACGUCAUGGAAUUUGUGAGAAAGAACCCAUGCACGAAAUGUACUUUCAUGUCAUGGAAUUCAAAUGUAAGGAACCCAUGCGUAGAGCAUUUUAUGAAUUUUUUCACACAUGGCAUGUCCACGUGAAGAAAAAAAAGUACGUCCUUGAUCCGAACCACAAGGCCGAACCUAAGGGCAUGAUUUGAUGAGUUAUAUGUUCCUUGAUCUGAACCAAAAGGCCGAACCUAAGGAUAUGAUUUGGUGAAUUUUAUGUCCCUUGAUCCGAACCAAACGACCGGACCUAAGGACAUGAUUUGGUGAAUUUUAUGUUCCUUAAUCCGAACCUAAGGACAUGAUUUGGUGAAUUUUAUCUUCCUUGAUCCAAACCAAACGGCGGAACAUAAGGACACGAUUUGGUGGAUUUUAUGUUAAUUGAUCCGAACCAAACGACCGAACCUAAGGACAUGAUUUGGUGGAUUUUAUGUUCCUUGAUCCGAACAAAAGGGCCGAACCUAAGGACGUGAGUUGGUGGAUUUUAUGUUCCUUAUCUGAACCAAACGGCCGAACCUAAGGACGUGAUUUGGUGAAUUUUAUGUUCCUCGAUCCGAACCAAACGGUCGAACCUAAGGACAUGAUUUGGUGGAUUUUAUGUUCCUUGAUCCGAACCAAACGGCCGAAUCUAAGGACAUUAUUUGGUGGAUUUUAUGUUUCUAGAUCCGAACAAACGGCCGAACCUAAGGACUUGAUUUGGUGGGUUUUAUGUUCCUUGAUCCGAACCAAACGGCCGAACCUAAGAACACGAUUUGAUGGAUUUUAUGUUCCUUAAUCCGAACCAAACGGCCGAACCUAAAGACAUGAUUUGAUGGAUUUUAUGUUUCUUGAUUCGAACCAAACGGCCGAACCUAAGGACAUGAUUUGGAAAUGAGGAAGAAGGAAGCUCCCUGGCUUGUACCGCGAUGGGCAAACCAAGGGCUAGAGGAGAACCAUGAAUCUCACCUUCAAACUCCCCAGCAAGUAGGGCGUCCGUCUCCUCCUUCUUUCUAUCCGAUUUGUGUGUGGGAUUUUUAUGGCAGAAUCUGUAUGUGCAGUGUUUCUAUGCAGCAGCAAUGGGAUGAGCAACGAAGUAGCAGCGGCAGCGUUGGAACAAAUGCAGAGGGAGAAAAGGCAGUUGAUCG
This 14476-nucleotide long non-coding RNA is filed under the name Hordeum vulgare. RNAcentral's name for it is "long non-coding RNA (HVUL_LNC019003)". The record is from RNAcentral. Lineage: Eukaryota; Viridiplantae; Streptophyta; Magnoliopsida; Poales; Poaceae.